Molecule: ribosomal RNA, 869 nt
Filed under: Riquetophycus polypus
Lineage: Eukaryota; Rhodophyta; Florideophyceae; Peyssonneliales; Peyssonneliaceae
Description: LSU rRNA
Rfam family: Eukaryotic large subunit ribosomal RNA
Source: RNAcentral
CGCUAAGGAGUGUGUAACAACUCACCUGCCGAAUGAAUUAGCCCUGAAAAUGGAUGGCGCUGAAGCGGGUGGCCGACACCACGCCGUGUGUCCGAGCUUUGUGUCACAUGAGUAGGAGGGCGUGGCGGGCGUGGCGAAGCGUGGGCGCGAGCCUGCGUGGAACGGUCCGCUAGUGCAGAUCUUGGUGGUAGUAGCAAGUAUUCAAGCGAGAACCUUGAAGGGCGAAGCGGGGAAGGGUUCCACGCGAACAUUGAUUGGGCGUGGGUGAGUCGUUCCUAAGCCGAGUGGCAAUUGCUAAGUAGCGGCGAAAGGGAAGCGGGUUGAAAUUCCCGCACACGGAUGUGGAGCGCGGUGACGCGACAUGGGGCGAACACGCUGGCGAUGGCGCUGGGCAGAGUUGUCUUUUCUGUUUGACCGAGUGUACGGGCGGUGUGGAAUCCGCUUGUCGGGAGAAACACGCGCGUACGGGCAGAGCGCCGGGGCUUUUCCGGCGUCCAGCUCGCCAUCGACGGCCCUUGAAACUUUGCCUGCUGGUUUGAGAUCCACGCCGUGGCGUACCGAUCACCGCAUCAGGUCCCCGAGGUGAACAGCCUCUGCUCGAUAUGAACAAUGCAGGUAAGGGAAGUCGGCAAAUUGGACCCGUAACUUUGGGAAAAGGGUUGGCUCUAGUGCUGCGUGGGAGAGGUUGUCUGUGUGUGGGGGCGGAGGCAGGGCGGCUUGGCGCGGGGCCUGGGCAACUGGGACCUGUUCUGGGCUGCCUUGUCACUGUUUCCGCCGCGGACGACGCCCACGGCAUGCAGCAGACUAGAACUGCAACGGGCAAAGGGAAUCCGACUGUUUAAUUAAAACAAAGCAUUGAGAAGGCCGUG